RNAcentral lists this long non-coding RNA (2793 nucleotides) under Nicotiana tabacum (common tobacco). RNAcentral's name for it is "long non-coding RNA (NTAB_LNC014081)". Lineage: Eukaryota; Viridiplantae; Streptophyta; Magnoliopsida; Solanales; Solanaceae. The record is from RNAcentral.
CAACACAUUCAAAUUCAUAUCACACUAAAGUUAUAAAAACAUAUUUGAUAAUUUAAACAUUAUACAUUCUACAGAUGUCCAUAAUAAAUAAAUAUGCAGAUGUGCUAAGUAUUUGCUUGGUGAUUUGUAUUGUUGUCACCUGAUCAUAUUCUCACAUCCACCGAAUGAAGCAGGCUCACUCUACAUAUCACAUGUUGAAACAGAGAAUUUUGAUCAAAAACUUAUAAAGGAAUAAAAUUUUGCCAAUAAGCUAAAAGGAAGAUCUUGGUAUAUAAAUAAACGAAAGGUCUGAUUCUUCUUACAAGUAAAUCUGUUACUUGAUCUAACAAUAGCAUUGAACUGAAAUUGUUAGAUACUCACAUGAAUAAGAGCUAAAGUACAAAGCUAUUUCCUUGGAUAUCAUCACAACACUUACAUCCACAAACUAUUUUACUUGAUAGCAUAAAUUCUUGCCAUAUAUUCACGAAAAUCAUAAUGUAACUAAUAAAAUAUAAAUUAACCAAUAUAGGCUUUCUAACAUUAGAAUCAAACAAAUAAAUUAUAAGUUGUAAUCUAUCCCAAUGAUUAACAAACUUGCAUCGAAACUGAAGGCUAAUAACACUAUAAAAUUGAAGUAGAAGAAAUGAACUGAAUAAAAUAGGAGUGGUCUAAUAGGAGUAGUUAGUUAAACAAAUCAAGCAUGUUAAAAUCUGUUGGAUCCAACUUCAAACAAAAGAAGAAACAAAUUAAAACGCGCAAAACUUUUUUUAAGGCAUGAAUUCCACUAGUAGCUGUAUUAUCCGCGAAAACUACAAGAAAAUAUAUAACAAAUUACUCUUAGUUACUUAAUGUGACCUGGGGAAAAGAUGUGAAAAGAUUUAGGAGAUGAGUUAACAAGCAUAACUUACCACUAAAUACCAUCAUAACAGCAUAUCAAUCUGUUAAACUAAAAUAUGCAUAGAUUAGCAUUCAAUCAAGUUGGCUUCAUCAAAGUUUGUCCAUAGAAUUACUCCACAGUAAGAGAUCCUCUUAUGGGGAACACAUACGAAUACAAGAUAUAAAAAAUAAGGUGAAUCAAAUGUGAAUACCAUUUCUGAACAUACCUUUAAACCAAAUAUGAAUGUCAUCUCUAAACAUACCUAUAAACGAAAUAAAUAAGCACUACUUAAAGAUGCAAUAUUGUUACCUUUAGAUAAAAUACCAUAAUAAAUAAAAUAUUUAUUCGGAUUUGUAUGUAUUUGUUGCUAAAUAAGUAGGAGUAUUUGCCUCGACUACAUCAUCAAUUAGAUGGUCUGUAACUAGUUAUAUCCUAACUCUUAGUAAGGCUCAUUUUCAUAACCUUCAUCUUUCACAACUUCUUAUGUAUCAUACAAAUCUCUUGGCUUUAGGUUUACAUAAAGCACUCUAUCCUUAAUUGAAAACAUCAUCUACGUAGUACACCAUAUUUAUGCUUGAGAUACUUCGAUGUAAGGCUCAUGUCCUUCAUCCUCAAUCUCGAGUAAUUAUAUAGAAAGUUGGAGUUUAUUUUCUUUUUCCAAAUAAAUAAAAUAUCAGUAACAUGCAAAUAAUUUACCUGCCUAAUGAUCUUUGUCUGCUAGAAAUAUUCAAAUUUGAAGGCAUAUAUAAAAUAAGUUCAAAAACUUAUGCGAGCCGUAGAUAAGCUAGUUUUUACAAUAAAAUGAGUCAACUUACUUGAUAGCGGGUUUGAAAUUACACCAUGUCCAGUACUCUUAGAAACGUGCACAUCUGCAAUAAUGAUAUGAUGCAAGACAUAUUACUAGAGGAAGUUUUCAUCUGCAGUAAUUUAUUUUUUAAGGGAAGUGAAAAACUAAACUACUAAAGUAUGAGCUAGAGAAGAAUAAAUUUGUCACCAUAGCAAGUAAAAGAGAUGCAUUCAUUGAAGACCAUGUACUGUUUUGAUAUUCCUCAAUGUAGAAGUGAGAAAAAUAUUAGCAAGUUCCCUGACUGAAUAAUCCGCAGAAUAAAAUGCAUUUAUGCUCUCCCAAUUCCCAUAUUAUAUUAAUUUAUGGGUCAAUCAAUUUCAACAUCACACAACAGAACUAAAUUCUAAUUGGAAUCUGGAAAAAACUUUGCGUUAAAUAAAGGAGCUUCUUACUACAACACUGAGUAAUUUGUAGCCAGAAGCAAAAUAUCUAAUGGUCUUCCCUCGAAUGACAACACUCUUUAAAAAAGAGAAUAAAUUUCAAGCUAGAUUGUUCAUAAGGGUUUUAUUACUGGUUCAAGCAAUAACUACAACUGAAAAACCCAAAUUCUACUACUAUUGAGAUAAAGAAAAUAAAUGAAAUUAAGAGGAAAAGAAAAAAAGAAAAAAAAUCACCUUUAGACGAGCAGCGACAUUCUGAAGUUGAUUCGCCCAAAUGGAUACUUCACUUCAGAAAUUCCCAAGACACAAUGCAAUACCAAUAAAUCGUAUUCCUAGCCUGAAAAUACCUUAAUAAAAAAUUACUUAAAUUGAAACAAUGGAGCAACACAAAAGACAUAAUCCGUGAUUUAAAAAUUAGAGCAGGAGCCAUAAAUUGAGAUGAAGAAUAAUACUUACAAAAUGUAACUAAUAUGGAUAGAAAAUUGAGAUAGAGAGCAUAUGAAGGGAAGCAAUGCACUAGAGAAGAAGCACUUCAGCCGAGGUGUUGAAAAGGGAAAACCUAGGGCUAGAGGCAUAAUGGAAUUAAAAGAGGGAAAGUGUAAUGAUCCGGCCGGUCGUUUCGAGAGUUGUAACCCUGUUUUCCCCUUUCCUACUUCUUUUGGUGUUAUUCAAUAAUAUUAUAUUAUAUCGGGUUAGAUGGUUCGAGUCCG